This 215-nucleotide long non-coding RNA is filed under the name Brassica napus (rape). RNAcentral describes it as "long non-coding RNA (BNAP_LNC019828)". The record is from RNAcentral. Lineage: Eukaryota; Viridiplantae; Streptophyta; Magnoliopsida; Brassicales; Brassicaceae.
GGACAUUACAUCUGGAUAGUACUGGUCAGGUUAAGACGAUACUGUCUGUCCAAACAUAGCAGUUGAGCUUGUCGGACUAAGCUGGAUGGAUUCAUACAAGGCAGCUGGAGUUGUCUUCCGAGAUCAGUUAGCCUAUGUACGGACUAACUGUUGUACGUUCUGAUGGGAACAGAUACUGAGCUGAACAUGAACUGAUUAGCUAUGGAGAAUGGCGG